AGACUUGAAUGUGUGAAAGGCUGAUUCAGAUGAAGUGAACCUGCUUUGACAGCUUUACAAUCACUCUUCAUCACAAACCAUCAUGCUUCUCUUUUGUUGGAUAUCAAUGUCAUUAUUCAUGGGAAAUUCCUUUGCUGACACAAUACAGCCGUCGUCUUCUGAACAACAUAUUUUCAGAGGUGACAGUGUGACUCUGUCCUGUAACUACAGUGGUUUUGUAUAUAGCCUGCUAUGGUAUCGGAAAUAUGAGGGAUCAAGACCGGAGUUCCUGAUACUUGUAAAUGAAAAUUCAGAGUCUCGUGAGGAUUCUCUUCGUCUGUCAGCAAAA
This is a long non-coding RNA of Megalobrama amblycephala (Wuchang bream), 328 nucleotides long. RefSeq lists it as uncharacterized. The transcript is spliced from 2 exons. Lineage: Eukaryota; Metazoa; Chordata; Actinopteri; Cypriniformes; Xenocyprididae. The record is from RefSeq and is a predicted model, not a curated record.